Molecule: ribosomal RNA, 253 nt
Filed under: uncultured bacterium
Lineage: Bacteria
Description: partial 16S ribosomal RNA
Rfam family: Bacterial small subunit ribosomal RNA
Source: RNAcentral
GACGGAGGAGGCAAGCGUUAUCCGGGAUUAUUGGGCGUAAAGGGUACGUAGGCGGCUGGUCAAGUCUGGGGUCAAAGGCCACAGCUCAACUGUGGAAAGGCCCUGGAAACUGACCGGCUAGAGUGAGGUAGGGGUUGCGGGAAUUCCCGGUGUAGCGGUGAAAUGCGUAGAGAUCGGGAAGAACACCUGAGGCGGAAGCGCGCAACUGGGCCUCAACUGACGCUGAGGUACGAAAGCUACGGGAGCGAAUGGG